RNAcentral lists this ribosomal RNA (253 nucleotides) under uncultured bacterium. RNAcentral describes it as "partial 16S ribosomal RNA". It matches the Rfam family "Bacterial small subunit ribosomal RNA", at positions 524 to 776 of the family's 1533-position model. The record is from RNAcentral.
UACGAAGGGGGCUAGCGUUGCUCGGAAUCACUGGGCGUAAAGCGCACGUAGGCGGACUCUUAAGUCAGGGGUGAAAUCCUGGAGCUCAACUCCAGAACUGCCUUUGAUACUGGGAGUCUUGAGUUCGGGAGAGGUGAGUGGAACUGCGAGUGUAGAGGUGAAAUUCGUAGAUAUUCGCAAGAACACCAGUGGCGAAGGCGGCUCACUGGCCCGAUACUGACGCUGAGGAGCGAAAGCGUGGGGAGCGAACAGG